This 24-nucleotide non-coding RNA is filed under the name Mus musculus (house mouse). Lineage: Eukaryota; Metazoa; Chordata; Mammalia; Rodentia; Muridae. The record is from RNAcentral.
UGCCCACGCUGCACAGAGCUCUAC